ACAACUUUUAACAACGGAUCUCUUGGCUCUCGCAUCGAUGAAGAACGCAGCGAAAUGCGAUAAGUAAUGUGAAUUGCAGAAUUCAGUGAAUCAUCGAAUCUUUGAACGCACCUUGCGCUCUCUGGUAUUCCGGGGAGCACGCCUGUUCGAGUGU
RNAcentral lists this ribosomal RNA (154 nucleotides) under Hydnum ovoideisporum. RNAcentral describes it as "5.8S ribosomal RNA". It matches the Rfam family "5.8S ribosomal RNA". Rfam says of the family: 5.8S ribosomal RNA (5.8S rRNA) is a component of the large subunit of the eukaryotic ribosome. It is transcribed by RNA polymerase I as part of the 45S precursor that also contains 18S and 28S rRNA. Functionally, it is thought that 5.8S rRNA may be involved in ribosome translocation. Lineage: Eukaryota; Fungi; Basidiomycota; Agaricomycetes; Cantharellales; Hydnaceae. The record is from RNAcentral. RNAcentral also lists the same sequence under 1 other name.